RNAcentral lists this long non-coding RNA (965 nucleotides) under Salmo salar (Atlantic salmon). Its description in RNAcentral is "lncRNA (ENSSSAG00000116139.1)". Lineage: Eukaryota; Metazoa; Chordata; Actinopteri; Salmoniformes; Salmonidae. The record is from RNAcentral.
AGUAUUUUCGGUCUGUCAUGGUGUGCGUGUAUUUGUUACUUUGUAUAUUUGACAUUUUGAGUAAAAAUACGUUGAUUACUCAUAUCUGCAGUCCUGCGCCUGACUCGCUACACCUAGGACCCAUUACAGAUUGGAGGAAAAUAUCUGAGAUUCCUCACCUCAAGCCUUCUCCUACUGUACAAUCCAUUCUUAAGAAGCGAAAGGAUGCAAGAUCAAUAAAGCAGAGGACCUGUCAGAGGUAAAGAACAAAUUGGAGGAAUUGGUAGACUGGCUGAGCCUACUGGGGCUGAAAAUGAUUGUUAUCAAGACAAUGGAGGACAGGGAUGGUGUGGUUGAAAUGGUGGCUCAACAAUUUGUCCAAGGGAGCAUGCAGAUGGCCUUGGAGUAGCAUUGGGAACCACCCGGACAGCUUCCGAGCACUUUUUGUGGACUCCGUAAAGCUUCCCACUGCCAGGGACCCGAGGGACCUGUUUAAAGUAACCUAUUCCAUAUCUGGCGGCAACAGGCGGUGGUUGGAGAACGAUGCCAUCUGCCACUGGUUCAACUGGCUGGCCGAUAGUAGAUCAAUUGUUCAAGAUUAUCACUAACUGCAUAUUAUUCCAUUUGUGAUUUAAAUGUGUAUUUUAAAUGUUUUACUGUGUACUCCUCAGAUGGAGAAUGUCCACCUCUAACAGUGGCGAUGGUGUUGUCAUUUGCUACUGGGGCAACAGUGGUGACACCCCGACCAUCGAAUUCCUCCACACAGCACAUGGGAGUCUUGCUAGGCAGCAGAAGAAAAAGUACCCAGAGGCAAAAACAUGUGCUGUGACACUAAGGCUCCCUCUUCAUAGCACCCACAAUGCCUUUAGGGAUUUCAUGGUUUCUGGUAUUAUGAAUUCCCCACAUUUCGGUGUUGCAUAAAUACACCUUCGCGGAAAGUGACACAAAUGUACAAGUCUGUGGGACUUGUUCUACCUUCCUUCUCC